This 232-nucleotide ribosomal RNA is filed under the name uncultured bacterium. RNAcentral describes it as "partial 16S ribosomal RNA". It matches the Rfam family "Bacterial small subunit ribosomal RNA", at positions 99 to 334 of the family's 1533-position model. The record is from RNAcentral.
CGGACGGGUGAGUAAUGUCUGGGAAACUGCCUGAUGGAGGGGGAUAACUACUGGAAACGGUAGCUAAUACCGCAUAACGUCGCAAGACCAAAGAGGGGGACCUUCGGGCCUCUUGCCAUCGGAUGUGCCCAGAUGGGAUUAGCUAGUAGGUGGGGUAACGGCUUACCUAGGCGACGAUCCCUAGCUGGUCUGAGAGGAUGAUCAGCCACACUGGAACUGAGACACGGUCCAG